UGAGCACUGAAGGAGAUAAUAAUCCCAGCAGAUGGCAGUAUGGCAGUCAUUUUAAUUGCAAUUUUGAAAUAUUUAUCCUUACAUCCAGUAAAAAAACAAAUAAAAAUCAACGCUUAUUCAUGAAGAGUUACUGUGACUCAGUGAGCGUGAAAUCUCAGAAAGCUGCACGAGCGAGUGCCAUUCUGUCUCAAGAGUGGAAAAAACAGCGCUGCUGCCGGUCCAUGGAACAGCGGGCUGGCCGGCCGGUGAUAUAGUGGGAUUAAAUCAGAGACGGUUCAGAAAGGACGGCCAAUUAGAGUCAUUUCCUGUAUCUGUGUCCUGUGGGUUUCGCCACUGCAGAGACUAGCAGCAGGUCCUGACUGAGUCUAUUCACUCCAAUGGGAGAAGUGAACGUGAGCACAGAUUAUGACCAAUUCUUUUGUCCCACAGGCACCGAAGUAAAUACAGGACACAUUUUUCACAAGCCAUAUGUCUUCCAAACAUUCUGACACUAAAAUGGCAUUUUUUCAGACAGACAAUUCAGGAGAAAAUUAACUGGGUUCAAGACCUGUCUCUGUCUCAGCAACACCCUGUGGCGAGAUCUGGCAACAUCUCUUCUCAAACCAGCUUGUAAUGUGUCCUCUUUGUUAUGGAUUCAAUCAUUUACAGUCCCACUCCAGCCUGUUUUAACUGACGUUUUUGGUUAACGUUCUUUCUCAAACAGAAUGCGGGUGUGGUGAAUAGUCGGAGGUAAUCCAUUAGCAUGGCAACCAGUUUGCUGUUCUAGCCUGUCAGGGAGGUCGACAUCAUUAGCAUGGAUAGCAAUAGCAUGGAUAUUAGAUUCAAUGCUAGUUUUAACACUGAAGAAGUUGUAAAUGUAUAUUCAUGUGCAUAACUUAGAAUUAUCAGCCUGUGGGUCUCCAAGAGAUCAGGAACAGACAAGGAUUAGAAAAUAUAACAAAAUAACAGAAAUUGAGUUGAGGUGUGAGGAGACCCAGUGGAGAACUGGGCGUCUCGAUGAGUGACUGCACUGAAUGUGUAACUGCAGCCAAAGUGGAGAUUACAAACUGCACCAGGCAGCAUAAUGUCGUCAUCAAAGGUCCUGGAGACAACAAGCGCUGACAGGACAAAUCUGCCAGAGCCACUCAGAGCAAGGAUGUAGGAGACUGAGACUGUGGUUUUAAAUACUGCCUCACGACAUGUGGAAGAUAUUACCUUGUGUGUAUGUGUGUCUGUGUUCUGGGCUGGCUUCCAGAUCUCCCGGCUGUGAUUGAUUACCGGCACACCUGAUCACCAUCAUCAUCAACCACCACCGUUUAUCUACCGGGCUCAUCCACACUACCAGCGCCAGAUUGUCCUCAUCUACGCUCUGCCGGUGAUCACCGCUCCCGUCUGUCCUUGGAUCUCCGAGACUUCCAUACUGCGCCAGCAACCAUAACUUCCUUGUUUCCCGACCAUCGGACUCUGGUGCCAGUUUCUACGUGCCCCCACCUGACCAGCC
Molecule: long non-coding RNA, 1480 nt
Organism: Siniperca chuatsi (mandarin fish)
Lineage: Eukaryota; Metazoa; Chordata; Actinopteri; Centrarchiformes; Sinipercidae
Exons: 5
Source: RefSeq, a predicted model, not a curated record